CCGACCCCAUACACUGUCUCUCUUCUGUUUCCUCUUUCCCUCGCUCUCUGGAACUCUCGGGUACCGUUUUGCUCUGUGAAGAUUGCAACUGAAAGCUUCGGCUCUCUUUCCUUUCUGUAACACUUUUAUCUAUCUGCGAAGCGCGAAGUGUGAGACGACGCCGUUUCGUUCUGGACUCGAUUUAAUGGUGUGCGUUUCUCUGUGAUCUUGGGGUGAAUUCGGCGAUGAGUGAGCUAACCCGAUGCCUGGUGUUUGAUUCUGGUUUUGGCGUUGUGGAUUGUGUUGCUCGAAUUAUAAGAAAUGUUUGAUUGGAACGACGAAGAGCUUGCUAACAUAAUAUGGGGUGAGGGAGUCGAGAGUGAUGAUCAUAUUGUGCCUUAUCCAGAGGUAAAUGAAGAUCUCAGUGACAAAAAAGAAUGGAAUCAGGAAGUUGCUGCAACUAAGCUGAAGAGACCAGAGGCUAAAAGUGAUUUUCAUGAAAGAAAGCUAGGAAGCAGUUCCAACCUUGAUAACAGUGGAGAACUACCUGCCUCAGGAUAUGGAACAAAUUCAUGGCCUGACUUGUCUUUAUCAAGUGCUGCUAAAAUUGACAAGGGUUUCCUGGGUACUGAAGUAUCUAAAAAUUUAAGUGAACAUAGCAAAUUCAGUUCAUCAAGAGAAGAGACUAUACAACAUGAAAAGGAUGCUGAGAUUUUCCAAAAUGCUCACGAAGGUAAAGAACAAGGUGAUUUUGUUGACUAUGGCUGGGCCAACAUAGGAAGUUUUGAUGACCUUGAUCGAAUUUUCAGCAAUGAUGACCCUAUAUUUGGCCAUGCAAGUCUUAAUAAUUAUGAUGAGCUUUGGUCCUCUAAAGAUGAGAGUAGCAAUGCAGCACCUUUACCUUUGAACACAAGUUCAUCAGGUGCUUUAAGGAAUAGAACUGAGCCUUUGGAAAUCAAAGAAGAAUAUGUUCAAUGUAAUGACGAAUCAUUGGACCUCAGCUUCGAGAAGAUUGGUGGUCCUGCAUCUCAAGUUAUACAAAAUUCACACAAAAUCCCAGCUGAUAUGGGAAGUGCUGGAGUUAGAAGUAAGCCUACUGGAAAAGCACAGCAGGUUUUUAGGCAAAAGAAUAUUUUGAAAACUCGGAAAAAACUGCAGGUAAAACAAGAAGGGAAUGCCUUGCAGGGUUUUUAUGGUAAUUGGUCUCCUUCAGCAGCACCAGAAAAACAAUUUGAGAAUCAAUUGGCACCUUCUGUCAUACAGUCUUCUCCCUCUUCAAUUCUUGGACAACAGAAGCAGAUCCAAGGCCCUGAAACCCUAUAUCAGAAUAUCAUAAAUCCAUACAUGGCAUCUUCUGUGUAUGGGAACCUUACCAAUACAUAUCCUGCUGUACCAAUGUUAUCACAGACUCAGUCAAGAGAUCUUCGGCAUCAGCCAGCACUUUCUGGGUAUGAAGUGUCUCCUGGUAUAGUGAAUCCUGUGAUGAAUUCUGUGGACUCACUCAGGCCCCAAACCAUGACUCCUCAAGAGAAAAUUGAAAAAUUGAGGAGGCGGCAGCAAAUGCAGGCAAUGCUUGCAAUUCAGAAACAACAGCAACAAUUGGGCCAUCAAGUUUGUAGCACUGGUAAAUCCAGCACUCAAAAAUGUCCUCCAGAAAUUCAAAGUCAUCAUAGUGAUGGAACUGAUGAAGAUCUAAGAAAUCUUCCAGCUCUAGAUCCCCCAAUUGAACAAGAUGAUUCUAAUACAAUAUCUGUGGCAGUUGAUAAUGAUUUUGUUGAAGACGCCAUUUUAUACAGGCUUCAGGAUAUUAUAUCAAAGGUAUGGUUGAAUUGAUACUUGCUAAUGUAUUAUAUGCAGUAUAACUGUUUUCUUGUAUACUAAUCCGGACAUGGCUACAAUCCCGAGGCAAACUUUUUCUACAGUUAGACAUCAAAAUAAGACUCUGCAUCAGAGAUAGCUUGUUCCGGUUGGCACAGAGUGCAAUGCAAAGGCAUUAUGCUAGUGAUACUAGCAGUACAAACAAAAGUAGCAGAGAAGAACUUGAAGUUGCUGCAAGGGAAGAAAGCAAUGUCCAAAACAGCAAGAAGCAGGGAUUCAAGAUCUUGAAUAGAAAGAAGGCCAUUCCAGCACAUGACUGUGGUGAAGGAAUCAUACUCAAGCAAGAUUCAAGUCAGAUAGCAAUGAAAGGAACCAGGAAAGUAAUAAAAAAUCCUACUGUUCCCAUUGCAAAUAUGCAGAAUUGACAUGAUCUUGAUCCCAAUGUACAUUUGUUUGAUAUCAUGAUGGAAUUUGGACGUUAUGCACAAACCUUUGAAUAUCGUGGCCACAGAUUACAACUUCUACUUGCUAUUGCCAAGUCAAGAAAUUCAUGUUAGUCAGUUUAGUAGUAACUGGCUGAGAAAACCGCUAAGAUAUCCCACAUUGGCUAGGAAUAAAGACAAAAUACUCUUUGUAAGGGCUAAUGUGCAAUGUUAAGAUAGGACACAGUUAAGAUAUCCCACAUUGGCUAGGAAUAAUAGAAAACAGUUAAGAUGAUCGCUGAUACCAGAUUAGGCGUUAGUUAGCUAGUUCAAGUAAAUAGCUGGUUUUUGCUGCUCAGAAUAAACAUGUGCCUUUGUUUUCAACUGAACACCUAUUAAUCACAAGAGUAGGGCUUCUAUUACCUAGUUUCCUUAUUAGUGAUGACAGUAUUUUUUUUCCAAUUAAUUUAUAAGCAUGUUUAUCUUGCAAAAACAAUGAUGGAUAUAACAUUUUGGUAAAUGUCAUCACCUCAAUUAUGCUGCGAUGAUGCUAAAGUUGCUAACUAUUGUCACUGUAUGAACCGCGUAUUUGUAUGACAGAUAUGCCAGGAUCCCUGAUGUUGAAACAGAGACGAAUCCCAUUGAUAGAACUGUGGCUCGUUUACUUUUUCAUAGGCCUAUGGAGUCAACCCAAAACUAUUCUGACAAACUGGAGUCACCUAUUUCUACUAAGGUGCAACGUGAAAGCAAAACAGCUAACCUGGUGAACUUUCCUGUAAGUUGCUUACCAAAUGAGGACUUGAAAAGUAAUCAGCAACUCUCCCGCCUUGGGUUUAAGAAUUCUUGGUUUGAGGCCCAGUCUAUGGAUCAAAUUAAAAACAGUCCCUGCAUAGACACAUCAGAGAAUGCAUCCAACACACAGGAGCUGGAAGCUUCACAAUGAAAAGAGGUUCACCAAAAAUCUGAGGGUAAACCCUUCCUUAUUACUUCCAUGUUUAUUGUUAUGCUUUCCUCUUUCAAUUAUAUAUGGAUUUACUGGUAAUGCAAAUGUUUUAUUUUAUUGUCAGCCAUUUGGAUCAUAAUCUGGCGCAAGUAUCACAGUAGAAUCCUGAGCACCAGUUCAUGCAUGCAUGUUAUCAGUAAUAUUAAUAAUGUUUCUGCUGUUUAAAAACAUGACAAGAUGUAUAUCAGUAUCUGACCAUACUUAAGGUCGUGAGUGCUAAGUUUUAAUCAUAAAUAAUCAAAAGUGCCUAGCAAAGCCACUCAGAUGUCAAAUUCUAUGUCAUAUUUCUGUAUGUAUGACUUGUCAUACCUACCUCAUCAUAAUUUACGUUUUAUGUCACUAUUUGAGAUUGAGACAUGAACUUGCGAUUAUUAAUUUCGAUUUAAGUGUGUUGUCAGUUUUGGCGAAAAAUUGUGCGGAUAUAACAAGCCAUAAUAUUUGUCUUCAUUUUAAUAU
This is an RNA transcript of Abrus precatorius (Indian licorice), 3678 nucleotides long. It is a transcript of the gene named protein LNK2, with no coding region annotated. NCBI's taxonomy places the organism in Eukaryota, Viridiplantae, Streptophyta, Magnoliopsida, Fabales, Fabaceae. The transcript is spliced from 6 exons. The record is from RefSeq and is a predicted model, not a curated record.